Molecule: long non-coding RNA, 546 nt
Organism: Cervus elaphus (red deer)
Lineage: Eukaryota; Metazoa; Chordata; Mammalia; Artiodactyla; Cervidae
Exons: 2
Source: RefSeq, a predicted model, not a curated record
CUGCCGGCGGUGGGGGGUAGUUGGUGGAGACGAGACACCCAGGAUGGUACUCUGGUAGGGGCCGCCGACUUGGGAAUGGCCGCUUUCGUCUCGGAAAUCGGGACGCGACGGCUUAGCGACCUGCGGGCGGAGCUGAAAUAGCGGAGCCUGGACACGGGCGGCAACAAGUGUCCUGAUAGAACGGCUGUAAGAAGGGAAUUCAUAUGGAAGCAUAAGGAGAAUGACAGGGAGUCAGAUCCCCGAAUGGAAGACAUUUCCCGAGUUGAACCCAGGUAAUUCACACACAAACUGCUAGUUUGAGUGGGCUAGCAACCUAGAAGCUUAGAACCCAGAAGGGCCGCUGGAGUUCUUCGUCCUUAAGAUUGAGCUUGGACCAAAAAAAGAAUGUGCCUGGAUUGGAAUGUCCCUGUAAUGGGGUGGGUAGUCAAGGCUUAGCUUUCUAAUGAAGGGGGUGGGGGUUCCUUGGUUGGGGAGCUAACACAUACCUCAAGACCAGAAAAACCAAAAGGUAAAUAUUGUAAAAAUUCAAUAAAGACUUUGAAAAUG